Molecule: ribosomal RNA, 494 nt
Filed under: uncultured bacterium
Lineage: Bacteria
Description: partial 16S ribosomal RNA
Rfam family: Bacterial small subunit ribosomal RNA
Source: RNAcentral
GAACGCUGGCGGCGUGCCUAAUACAUGCAAGUCGAGCGAACAGAUAAGGAGCUUGCUCCUUUGACGUUAGCGGCGGACGGGUGAGUAACACGUGGGUAACCUACCUAUAAGACUGGGAUAACUUCGGGAAACCGGAGCUAAUACCGGAUAACAUUUGGAACCGCAUGGUUCUAAAGUGAAAGAUGGUUUUGCUAUCACUUAUAGAUGGACCCGCGCCGUAUUAGCUAGUUGGUAAGGUAACGGCUUACCAAGGCGACGAUACGUAGCCGACCUGAGAGGGUGAUCGGCCACACUGGAACUGAGACACGGUCCAGACUCCUACGGGAGGCAGCAGUAGGGAAUCUUCCGCAAUGGGCGAAAGCCUGACGGAGCAACGCCGCGUGAGUGAUGAAGGGUUUCGGCUCGUAAAACUCUGUUAUUAGGGAAGAACAAAUGUGUAAGUAACUGUGCACGUCUUGACGGUACCUAAUCAGAAAGCCACGGCUAACUACGUG